UACGUAGGGGGCGAGCGUUGUCCGGAUUUAUUGGGCGUAAAGAGCGUGUAGGCGGCUUGGAAGGUCAGCUGUGAAAACUCGAGGCUCAACCUCGAGACGUCGGUUGAAACCACCUGGCUAGAGUCCGGAAGAGGAGAGUGGAAUUCCCGGUGUAGCGGUGAAAUGCGCAGAUAUCGGGAAGAACACCCGUGGCGAAGGCGGCUCUCUGGGACGGUACUGACGCUGAGACGCGAAAGCGUGGGGAGCGAACAGG
RNAcentral lists this ribosomal RNA (253 nucleotides) under uncultured bacterium. Its description in RNAcentral is "partial 16S ribosomal RNA". It matches the Rfam family "Bacterial small subunit ribosomal RNA", at positions 524 to 776 of the family's 1533-position model. The record is from RNAcentral.